UAUUAUAGUAACAUGGAAUUGUAGAAGCUAUGUUAUUAUUAAUAUUAUAGUAACAUGGGAUUCUAGAAGCUGUUAUUAUUAUUAUUAUUAUUCACCCUCGGUCUGGCACACAGCCCCCCUUACAGUCCCAUUAUUCCAAUCCCUUACCAUCUCUGCCCAGCAUUACAGAUAAAUCCAAUGAGGAUAACUCGGCUCCCGGUGAGGGUUCCCUGCUCGCGCACACUGGGGCCCCUGGGAUCCCGGGGCCCAGCUUGGCCUCUCACUUCCUCCUCACUCCGCCAUCUUGAGCGAGUCUCUGGCCUCCGAGAGCUCGCAUGACGCAGAGGGCUAGCCACGCCCCCGCUGGGAAGGUCAAUGGGCGGGGUCAGGACAGAGAGCAGGGCUUCAGU
Molecule: non-coding RNA, 389 nt
Organism: Pelobates cultripes (western spadefoot toad)
Lineage: Eukaryota; Metazoa; Chordata; Amphibia; Anura; Pelobatidae
Source: the annotation of a GenBank genome assembly